This 2142-nucleotide long non-coding RNA is filed under the name Aquilegia coerulea. Its description in RNAcentral is "long non-coding RNA (ACOE_LNC002020)". Lineage: Eukaryota; Viridiplantae; Streptophyta; Magnoliopsida; Ranunculales; Ranunculaceae. The record is from RNAcentral.
UUCUAACAAAAAGUGUCAUAGGGUACUGAAAACUCUUGAUAAAUCUAAUAAAACUGUCAACGGGUAUAAAAAAUUCUUGAUAAUUCUGUUAAAAGUGUCAACUGGUACUGAAAACUAUUGACAAUUCUGAAUAAAGUGUCAACGGGCACUACUCGAAAAACCUAAAAGAAAUUUUAGGCUUUAGGAAAAUAAAACGGUCUAAAAUUUUAUUCGUCUUCUCCUUGUUUCAGAAACCAUUUAAACUUGGCUCUACCAACAUGAACGCCAACACCACCAACAUCUCCUUAGCAUCACUCUUAGCAUCUAUGGUUAGUCUCUCUCUCUCUCUCUCUCUCUCUAAUUUUUCCACUUAAGAUUUGGUGAGUAUGCUGUAGUUUAGGUUAAUUUUGUUUCUUUUCUGUUUUCCACAAUUGAAUUGAAAUUCAAUUUCGCCAUCUGUUAUUCUAUUCAAUUAAUCUUAUUAAUUCUACUUCACGUUUUCUUUAUAGUUGUUUCGUGUUAAUUAAAGUUAAAAACAAAACAAAUUGAAAGCUUUGGAAGCCCUAGGUUGGCUUUAGGAUUCCAUAGACCUAUCUUUCUCACAAUUAAUUAGUUUGUUACUAAUAAAGAUCUGAACGAAAUUCGCAAUUUCCUUGUCUGAAUUAAAUUAAAUUUGGAUCUAUUACUUCAAUUUUUUAACUUGCCAGAAUGAUUCUGGAUCGAACCAGAAAUGAGUACUUGCUCGAGUUGAAUUGAAGAGAUUCUGAAACCUAGUUAUAAUGCGCACAAAGGAAGCAACUAAUAUUUUUGUGUAGGUUCAAUCGUUUUGUGUAUGUUACUGGGAAAGUUAUUGCGCAUUCUCAAUGAUUUAGUUUUUUAUUUAACGAUUAUGUCUAUGUUGAUCAGUAUUUUCUCGUUUCAAACUGAUUGUUUUCUGCAGACACAAGUCAUUCACGUAAGUCCUUAGUAUUAGAUUUGCUAAUUUAUCUGUUAAUUCGUUUGUACAUGUUUGCAAUACUCUUCUUUGUAAUUACUAACUUGUUGUCAGUUUUGCAAAAUGAUGCAUGUCAACUAAUUUUUAUUGGAGAUGUGUUUAGUGCAGCUGACUGUAUCGUAUAUACACACGUUAAUUGAAUUUCAUUGGUGAGUUUACAAAUCGUGUAUUACUGAACAGAUUCGUUUGGUCCUUUUAAAAAUAUUUUUAUUUGCUACUUUACUGAGUUAGCUCUUGAUAUUCAUUCUUUUGUAUUAAAGGGAAAUGAAGCUUGUAACAAUUGGCCAAUGUCUCAAAGGCAAGAUCAAUGUCUCGUUUCCAGUAAGGGGGUAAAUUCUUUUAUCAAUCAUUUUAUGGUUGCAUUUAUAGUGGUACAUUAUAUCAGUUAGCAGUGGACUCUUCUUGUUUAUUGUUAGGUUCUAGACCUUGUGCAAUGAAGGUAUGUGUGCUGCACUAUAGUACUUUCUAUAACUUUGAUUUGUGGAUUGUGGGUCAAAGAGUAUGUUGAAGUAGCUUGAAAACGUUUGAAACUCCAUUCCCUUAUGUGCCAAAUUGGUUUUAGCUUAAAGUCUUAAAACUCUUAGUAAUUUGCUUCAAUGCUCAAGACAUUUAAUUUUUUUUUUGUUAAAGCCCAUAGUGAUUUGUAGUUCCAUAUAUGUCUACCCCUUUCUUUUGAGGCUAUUAUGUACUGAUGUGAUUGGAUUGUUCUAGCAUUUUCUCUUCCCAUUUAAAAUAUCAGCAAGUCUUGUUGCAAUAUCUCGUAAAUAUUAAAUGUAGGGUCAUGCCCUGAACAUCUAAACCUCUCUCACGCUGUCAUGCAUCUCUUUUUGUUGGAUAUUCAGGAUAUCUUGGAAUUUCUUAAUAACUAGGAUCAACAUGCAUAUGUAUCAACUGCCUAGCUUCCACGCAUUCAUAUAAGAGAACAUGUUAAUUGUGAUCCUAGGAACAGGGCACAUAGUUCUUCUAAUGAUAGUUUUCUCUACAUACUACCAGUAAAUAAACUGUGUUUCCUAUUUUUAAUCCUUUUCCACUUAACGAAGUUAUAACUCUGUCACAUGAACCUUUGUAGUAGUGCGUACUCAUUGGGGGCAUAUGAUUGGCUUGCAUAAUUAUAGUUUCAAUUGAAUAUUUUAUUGAAAUGUAACUGCUUUACGAAGCCAUUGAUUCAG